GAUGAACGCUGGCGGCGUGCCUAAUACAUGCAAGUCGAGCGAACAGACGAGGAGCUUGCUCUUCUGACGUUAGCGGCGGACGGGUGAGUAACACGUGGAUAACCUACCUAUAAGACUGGGAUAACUUCGGGAAACCGGAGCUAAUACCGGAUAAUAUAUUGAACCGCAUGGUUCAAUAGUGAAAGACGGUUUUGCUGUCACUUAUAGAUGGAUCCGCGCCGCAUUAGCUAGUUGGUAAGGUAACGGCUUACCAAGGCGACGAUGCUUAGCCGACCUGAGAGGGUGAUCGGCCACACUGGAACUGAGACACGGUCCAGACUCCUCCGGGAGGCAGCAGUAGGGAAUCUUCCGCAAUGGGCGAAAGCCUGACGGAGCAACGCCGCGUGAGUGAUGAAGGUCUUCGGAUCGUAAAACUCUGUUAUUAGGGAAGAAAAAAUGUGUAAGUAACUAUGCACGUCUUGACGGUACCUAAUCAGAAAGCCACGGCUAACUACGUG
RNAcentral lists this ribosomal RNA (497 nucleotides) under uncultured bacterium. RNAcentral's name for it is "partial 16S ribosomal RNA". It matches the Rfam family "Bacterial small subunit ribosomal RNA", at positions 28 to 507 of the family's 1533-position model. The record is from RNAcentral.